Molecule: transfer RNA, 31 nt
Filed under: Saucerottia cyanocephala (azure-crowned hummingbird)
Lineage: Eukaryota; Metazoa; Chordata; Aves; Apodiformes; Trochilidae
Description: partial tRNA-Met
Source: RNAcentral
GAAAAUGAUGGUUUAACCCCUUCCCCUAUUA